RNAcentral lists this ribosomal RNA (433 nucleotides) under uncultured bacterium. RNAcentral's name for it is "partial 16S ribosomal RNA". It matches the Rfam family "Bacterial small subunit ribosomal RNA", at positions 29 to 507 of the family's 1533-position model. The record is from RNAcentral.
AACGAACGCUGGCGGCAUGCCUAACACAUGCAAAUCGAACGAGACCUUCGGGUCUAGUGGCGCACGGGUGCGUAACGCGUGGGAACCUGCCCUUAGGUUCGGAAUAACUCCCCGAAAGGGGUGCUAAUACCGGAUAAUGUCUUCGGACCAAAGAUUUAUCGCCUUUGGAUGGGUCCGCGUUGGAUUAGCUAGUUGGUAGGGUAAAAGCCUACCAAGGCGACGAUCCAUAGCUGGUCUGAGAGGAUGAUCAGCCACACUGGGACUGAGACACGGCCCAGACUCCUACGGGAGGCAGCAGUGGGGAAUAUUGGACAAUGGGCGAAAGCCUGAUCCAGCAAUGCCGCGUGAGUGAUGAAGGCCUUAGGGUUGUAAAGCUCUUUUACCCGGGAUGAUAAUGACAGUACCGGGAGAAUAAGCUCCGGCUAACUCCGUG